Molecule: ribosomal RNA, 207 nt
Filed under: uncultured bacterium
Lineage: Bacteria
Description: partial 16S ribosomal RNA
Rfam family: Bacterial small subunit ribosomal RNA
Source: RNAcentral
CGGAUUGAAGGCUGAAAUUACGCCUUCCAUGAAGCUGGAAUUGCUAGUAAUGGCAGGUCAGCAUACUGCCGUGAAUACGUUCCCGGGCCUUGUACACACCGCCCGUCACACCAUGAGAGUUGGGAAUACCCGAAGCCUGUGAGCUAACAUAUGAGGCAGCAGUCGAAGGUAGAAUCAAUGAUUGGGGUGAAGUCGUAACAAGGUACC